GACGAACGCUGGCGGCGUGCUUAACACAUGCAAGUCGUACGGUAAGGCCCUUUCGGGGGUACACGAGUGGCGAACGGGUGAGUAACACGUGAGUAACCUGCCCACAACUUUGGGAUAACGCUAGGAAACUGGUGCUAAUACUGGAUAUGUGCUCCUGCUGCAUGGUGGGGGUUGGAAAGCUCCGGCGGUUGUGGAUGGACUCGCGGCCUAUCAGCUUGUUGGUGGGGUAGUGGCCUACCAAGGCGGCGACGGGUAGCCGGCCUGAGAGGGUGACCGGCCACAUUGGGACUGAGAUACGGCCCAGACUCCUACGGGAGGCAGCGGUGGGGAAUAUUGCACAAUGGGCGCAAGCCUGAUGCAGCAACGCCGCGUGCGGGAUGACGGCCUUCGGGCUGUAAACCGCUUUCAGCAGGGACGAAGCUUUUUGUGACGGUACCUGCAGAAGAAGCACCGGCUAACUACGUG
RNAcentral lists this ribosomal RNA (465 nucleotides) under uncultured bacterium. RNAcentral's name for it is "partial 16S ribosomal RNA". It matches the Rfam family "Bacterial small subunit ribosomal RNA", at positions 28 to 507 of the family's 1533-position model. The record is from RNAcentral.